GUUCAGUCAUAAAAAGGUAUAGCUGUCAGAGAACUGGUACAAAACCUAACUAUCACUGAAAAGAACUCAGUAUUUUAUUACUUCUAACUCUUCUCCAAAGAAUGACUUUCCUCUUUGAGCAUCACCAGCACCAUUAUUAACAGUGCUUUUUAAUCUUUUCACUUCACCACUACUAUCCCACUAUUGUUAGGAUAAACCAAGUUUCUUUUUUCCUAACCAAGACCACCAUCAGCCCUUGGAAAAUACAUCUGUUUCUUUAAUUAAUCCUUUUCAUGUUCCACUUGCUGUACAACCACCUCACAAUAUCAGAAGUGAAGAACAACAACCACCUUCA
Molecule: long non-coding RNA, 334 nt
Filed under: Bos taurus (domestic cattle)
Lineage: Eukaryota; Metazoa; Chordata; Mammalia; Artiodactyla; Bovidae
Description: long non-coding RNA NONBTAT001595
Source: RNAcentral